UGCAACACCUGAAGGUGUCCAGCCAAGGGGGAACCGUUCUUUUACAUCUCUUGUUCACACUUGGGAUUUAGGUCUGCAAGCUUUUCCUGCUGUUCAGACAUUAACUAACUGAAAAACCUAGAGAAGGCAGCGAGACAUCAGUACGGACAGUAUUUCAUGACAGCUGGGCAGAGACUGCAGAUAGGUGAAGGGAGAAGGAGAGACAGAAAAAACAACACAGAGAGAACAAGAGACAGUGUUUUCUAACUCUGGGGCAAUGAUGAGUGUGGCAACAGAUGUCUCCCUCUGAAACAGGCUGGUGGAUCUCAGUCUGGUUUCCAGGUGUCCAUGGAUUCUGGGGAGCUGCAGGAAGAGGAGG
This is a long non-coding RNA of Passer domesticus (house sparrow), 358 nucleotides long. RefSeq lists it as uncharacterized. The transcript has 4 exons. The record is from RefSeq and is a predicted model, not a curated record. Lineage: Eukaryota; Metazoa; Chordata; Aves; Passeriformes; Passeridae.